ACCGGAGACACGCACACGGCAGGACGGACGUCAGGAGCAGAAGCAGCUUUGGGGCUCAGAGUGAAUUAAGUUUCCUCUCCUUUGGAAGCAAGAUUUCUAUAACUGGCAGCUGGUACCUUCGGGGCCUAGACAUGUUGCUGGAUCUUUCUAAAUAGACCUACUGUUGCAUGCAAAACAACAUCAAGAGAAUACUGAGGAAAAGAAAUCCUCAUUUGAUUAGACUCCAACGGCUUGAAGUACAGCUGUGAACUAAGGAAAUGUAGUAAAGAGCUAACAAGAAAAAAUUGAACAAAAUAUUGAAGCUAUUGUAUGAUUAGACCGUGCAGCUCUAAUGGCUUGGAAUUACCAAGGAGACUGAAUGACAAUAAUACCCUGGAAAUGACAGUAAUAGCCUGCAAGUAGGUUAGCAUGUCAUGUUUGGUGGAGACUUGCUAGCAACUCCACUAGGCAACAGCUGUUUUCAAGGGCAUGUGACAAGAAGAAACCUGCUUUAGUAAACAUGUAAGUUUCCAGAUUUGUUUUUUUUUUUAAAUAUUUUUAAAAAAAGCUGUAAACUGUCAUUUAAAUUUUUAUUUAAUGUUUAAUAAAAAUUAAACUGACAGUUUACAGCUGUUUUUAAAAAAGGUCUUCCUUAAUAGUUAAGAAAGAGCAGGGAGGAGGUUUGAGAUGUUCAGAUAUUUUUAAAUACUAUAGUCUGUCUUGUAAAAAUGUAUUAACAUCUUCUAAAAUUACUGACUCCAUAAACAAACAGUAAGCAUGAUUUACUAAGCAAGUCAUCUGAACUGUGGUACAACCAUAUAAGCCAUUAUUUUCCCCGUAUUUGGUCCGUGAGUUUACUAGGUGGUAUAUUUCAAAAUCAUUUAUUUAUUAUGUCAGACACUGAAAACAUGCCUUCCAAAAAAAUCUAAUAAUAGGUGCAGGUCAAUAGCAUUCACUGAAUUUCAAAACAAAAAAGACACUAGAAAGAAAUAUUAACACUGGCUGCAGCUUUCUCUGUAAACAAGCAGCUAGAAGAAACAUUUUAGCUGCUUUUAGUUUUUCUGAACACAUACACAUUUGAUUUUUCCAAAGUAACCCCCUUGUUUCCUUCUCUAGUGAAGAAUACUAAAAUAUUCAUCUGGCAAGUCAUGGUACUAUAAUACAAAACUCUGGUGGGGACCCUAGUGUACAUAAGGCUCCUGAAACAGAAAGUUUAUUUUUCUGUAUUGCACCAUCAGACUCUCAAUGUUUAACAAAUGAUGUGCAGUAAAAGUUCCAAAAAACUAACACAUGGUGACACAAGGUUAAAUGUAGGGUAAAAGUUGAUGAGAUUACUUGAAUAUAAAAGAUUAUGACUGUCAUUUUGAAAGAAUGCUUGUCUCUAAAUUAAAAAGUGAAAAAUAUUAAGAAAAACAGAUGUGGAAUGUAGUUGAGAUUUUCUAUUUCUCUGUUAUCCUGUAUGCUGGGUAUUAAAUCUCUUAAGAUCAGUGUAUUUUAGUCUCAAAGAAAAGUAGGAGCCAUCCUUCGUAAUAAUUCUGAUUAAUUUCUCUGCACAUUAAUUUUUAAUUGAGCUGUAGCUCACGAAAGCUUAUGCUCAA
Dermochelys coriacea (leatherback sea turtle) is the source of this 1577-nucleotide long non-coding RNA. RefSeq lists it as uncharacterized. NCBI's taxonomy places the organism in Eukaryota, Metazoa, Chordata, Testudines, Dermochelyidae. The record is from RefSeq and is a predicted model, not a curated record. The transcript has 4 exons.